AAGUCGUAACAAGGUUUCCGUAGGUGAACCUGCGGAAGGAUCAUUAACACGUAUCCAACGUUAAACCCCCUGUGAACCUUCAUUGUGCUCCCACGCUUUGUUAGAAAGUAGCAAUCCCUGGUAAAUCAUCGCCGAACAGUUUUGAUUCUGGGACUUCCUCAAAGAGUGUGCAUGUUGCGCGAGGCAAGUGGCCUGGCAUUCCCAAGCAGUUAAUGUCUGAAAGUGUCAUUAGCUGUGUAAGGAUGACGCAGUAACGAUCGUUGGAGGCCGACACGGCCGACGACCGGGUCACCGGGCGCAAGCCCCUUUAUCACCACUUAAUGCAUGACAGACGCGCCAGCGCUUAAUUGUGCGGCGACCAAAAACCGAACAACUGUUAACAAUGGAUAUCUUGGUUCUC
This 400-nucleotide unclassified non-coding RNA is filed under the name fungal sp. RNAcentral describes it as "partial internal transcribed spacer region". The stretch from base 1 to 46 matches the Rfam family "Eukaryotic small subunit ribosomal RNA", at positions 1786 to 1831 of the family's 1831-position model. The record is from RNAcentral. Lineage: Eukaryota; Fungi.